GGCCUAUUAGGGGAGUCUGGUCGUCCCUGCCUCACUGUCUAUGAGGAGAUCCUCGGUUCGAAUCCGUGAUAGGCCGCCA
This 79-nucleotide transfer RNA is filed under the name Spirosoma sp. 48-14. RNAcentral describes it as "tRNA-Asp". It matches the Rfam family "tRNA". From Rfam's summary of the family: Transfer RNA (tRNA) molecules are approximately 80 nucleotides in length. RNAcentral also lists the same sequence under 1 other name. The record is from RNAcentral. Lineage: Bacteria; Pseudomonadati; Bacteroidota; Cytophagia; Cytophagales; Cytophagaceae.